RNAcentral lists this ribosomal RNA (496 nucleotides) under uncultured bacterium. RNAcentral's name for it is "partial 16S ribosomal RNA". It matches the Rfam family "Bacterial small subunit ribosomal RNA", at positions 28 to 507 of the family's 1533-position model. The record is from RNAcentral.
GAUGAACGCUGGCGGCGUGCCUAAUACAUGCAAGUUGAGCGAACAGGGGAGGUACUUGUUCCUUUUGCGUGAGCAGCGGACGGGUGAGUAACGCGUGGGGAACCUGCCUUUGAGAGGGGGACAACUUUGGGAAACGGAAGCUAAUACCGCAUAAUAUUUUUAAACACAAGGUUUAAGAUUGAAAGAUGCAAUUGCUUUACCCUAUGAUGAUACCGCGUUGUAUUAGCUAGUUGGGAGGGUAAAGGUCAUCCAAGGCAAAGAUCCGUAGCCGACCUGAGAGGGGGUGCGCCCACACUGGAACUGAAACACGCCCCAGCCUCCUACGGGAGGCACCAGUAGGGAACCUCGCCAAAGGGGGGAAAGCUGGCCGGAGCAACGCCGCGUGAGGGAGGAAGUUCUUCGGACCGUAAAACUCUGUUAUUAGGGAAAACCAAACUUGGAAGUAAAUGCGCAUCUCGUGACGGUACCUAAUCAGAAAGCCACGGCUAACUACGUG